Podarcis lilfordi (Lilford's wall lizard) is the source of this 74-nucleotide non-coding RNA. Lineage: Eukaryota; Metazoa; Chordata; Lepidosauria; Squamata; Lacertidae. The record is from the annotation of a GenBank genome assembly.
GGAGGGCCAUAGCUCAGUGGAAGUGUGUCUGUCUUGCAUGCAGAAGGUGCUAGAUUCAAUUCCUGGUGACUCCA